Molecule: unclassified non-coding RNA, 208 nt
Filed under: uncultured fungus
Lineage: Eukaryota; Fungi
Description: sequence contains ITS1
Source: RNAcentral
ACAAAUCAAAUAUGGUGGGUGGUGGGUGAGAGGAUGUUUUAUUCUUUGAUGGUAUAGAUAGAGUGUUGAGUUCAAUACUCUAUUUCCUCCAUCUAGGGAUAACACACCAAUCAUUGCACACCUAACAUUUGUGCUCCAGGCAUUUCGUCUGGGUGCAAUUAUAUAUAUUCAUUAUUGUCAGUUGUUUGUCUAUUUUAAAUUUAUAAUC